AGAGUUUGAUCCUGGCUCAGGACGAACGCUGGCGGCGUGCCUAACACAUGCAAGUCGAGCGAUGAAAUCCUUCGGGAUGGAUUAGCGGCGGACGGGUGAGUAACACGUGGGUAACCUGCCUCAAAGAGGGGAAUAGCCUUCCGAAAGGAAGAUUAAUACCGCAUAAUAUGUUUUGGUCGCAUGACUAGAACAUCAAAGGAGUAAUCCGCUUUGAGAUGGACCCGCGGCGCAUUAGCUAGUUGGUGAGGUAACGGCUCACCAAGGCGACGAUGCGUAGCCGACCUGAGAGGGUGAUCGGCCACAUUGGAACUGAGACACGGUCCAGACUCCUACGGGAGGCAGCAGUGGGGAAUAUUGCGCAAUGGGGGAAACCCUGACGCAGCAACGCCGCGUGAAUGAUGAAGGCCUUCGGGUUGUAAAGUUCUGUCUUCUGGACGAUAAUGACGUACCAGAGAGA
RNAcentral lists this ribosomal RNA (457 nucleotides) under uncultured Clostridium sp. RNAcentral's name for it is "bacterial SSU rRNA". It matches the Rfam family "Bacterial small subunit ribosomal RNA", at positions 8 to 486 of the family's 1533-position model. The record is from RNAcentral. Lineage: Bacteria; Bacillati; Bacillota; Clostridia; Eubacteriales; Clostridiaceae.